RNAcentral lists this ribosomal RNA (485 nucleotides) under uncultured Methanosaeta sp. RNAcentral describes it as "bacterial SSU rRNA". It matches the Rfam family "Archaeal small subunit ribosomal RNA", at positions 856 to 1338 of the family's 1478-position model. Lineage: Archaea; Methanobacteriati; Methanobacteriota; Methanomicrobia; Methanotrichales; Methanotrichaceae. The record is from RNAcentral.
UUAAAGGAAGUUGACGGGGAGCACCACGAACGGGUGGAGCUUGCGGUUUAAUUGGAUUCAACGCCGGAAAUCUUACCGGGACCGACAGCAAUAUGAAGGCCAGGCUGAAGACUUUGCCGGAUUAGCUGAGAGGUGGUGCAUGGCCGUCGUCAGUUCGUACUGUGAAGCAUCCUGUUAAGUCAGGCAACGAGCGAGACCCACGUCCACAGUUGCCAGCAUACCCGUCCGGGGUGAUGGGUACACUGUGGAGACCGCCGCUGCUAAAGCGGAGGAAGGAAUGGGCAACGGUAGGUCAGUAUGCCCCGAAUCUCCCGGGCUACACGCGGGCUACAAUGGUUGGUACAAUGGGCAUCUACCCCGAAAGGGGAAGGAAAUCUCUUAAAGCCAAUCGUAGUUCGGAUUGAGGGCUGCAACUCGCCCUCAUGAAGCUGGAAUCCGUAGUAAUCGCGUUUCAACAGAACGCGGUGAAUACGUCCCUGCUCCUU